AGCAGCAGCCACGGUAAUACGUAGGUCCCGAGCGUUGUCCGGAUUUAUUGGGCGUAAAGCGAGCGCAGGCGGUUAGAUAAGUCUGAAGUUAAAGGCUGUGGCUUAACCAUAGUACGCUUUGGAAACUGUUUAACUUGAGUGCAAGAGGGGAGAGUGGAAUUCCAUGUGUAGCGGUGAAAUGCGUAGAUAUAUGGAGGAACACCGGUGGCGAAAGCGGCUCUCUGGCUUGUAACUGACGCUGAGGCUCGAAAGCGUGGGGAGCAAACAGGAUUAGAUACCCCCGUAGUCCCUGUCUCUUAUACA
This 303-nucleotide ribosomal RNA is filed under the name uncultured bacterium. RNAcentral's name for it is "partial 16S ribosomal RNA". It matches the Rfam family "Bacterial small subunit ribosomal RNA", at positions 507 to 808 of the family's 1533-position model. The record is from RNAcentral.